RNAcentral lists this ribosomal RNA (253 nucleotides) under uncultured bacterium. RNAcentral's name for it is "partial 16S ribosomal RNA". It matches the Rfam family "Bacterial small subunit ribosomal RNA", at positions 524 to 776 of the family's 1533-position model. The record is from RNAcentral.
UACGUAGGUGGCGAGCGUUGUCCGGAUUUACUGGGCGUAAAGAGCGCGCAGGCGGUCGUUCAAGUCGCGUGUGAAAGCCCCCGGCUCAACUGGGGAGGGUCACGCGAUACUGAUCGACUCGAAGGCAGGAGAGGGUAGUGGAAUUCCCGGUGUAGUGGUGAAAUGCGUAGAUAUCGGGAGGAACACCAGUGGCGAAGGCGACUACCUGGCCUGUUCUUGACGCUGAGGCGCGAAAGCUGGGGGAGCAAACGGG